CAUACAUCGUAGACAAAAAAAUGUUUAAUUCAUUUCCAUCAACACUUGUCAUACAUCGUAGACAAGACAUUGUUAUUUCUUGCAUCAAAGACAAGAUAACUAUAAUUAAAGUAACUUUCCAACUUCCUCAAUUUAAAUAAACAAUAAAAUAACUAAACAGAAUUCAAGUAAAGUGUUGUGUUCACUGUUUGGAACAGGUGCGUAUAUACUAGGGUCAAGGUCACUGGCCAUCUCUGGUCUGGUGGUUAUGAUUUGUUUGUUUAAACAUAGAUAUUACAUUACGCCUCAUAGAGAAGUUAAGCUUAUUCAUUUCUUGAGACCUAAAGGCGAAAUAUGAAUAAGAAUCAACUGUACAUACAUUCUACGUAAUAUAACGGCACUAUUGAAUGUGCUUUACUUUUGCUGAAAAAAAUAACUAAAAAAGUAGACACGUAAAACAAUCUUAUCCUAAAGUAAAUGCUAAUAAAAUGACGUUUUUCUUUUGCAAGGAGAGUCUUUAAUAAGUCGAAACUGAUGAUAAGGUUUGCCAAACACUAGAUAAGCACUUUUGUAAAAAGAUUCUUUCAAUGAACAUAUCAAUCAUGAUUUGAUUUUUCAGACAAGAAGUCGUAAACGCAUUCGAACACAUAUAUCUGCAUUCGAGGUUGCUGACUAUUUUUGUAAAAAAAUAUAGAUGAACAAAUUUAGUAUUUCAAUUGUUCAUUACUAACUUACUUCAUUAAUAUUCAAUUAUUGACUCGUUUUGUUCUUAAUUUCAGGAGAAUUUUCAAACUUGUAGAAUAAUCUCACAACAUCAGAAGCAAAACUUUUGGCGAGUUUUUAAACAGGUAUAUUCGAAUGACUGUCAGAAAAAAGAAAAUCGUCGAAAUCAAGAUAAUCAAUUGUAGAUUUAUUCUUCCUAACAUAACGGCACUAUUGAAUGUCGUCUACUUUUGCUGAAAAAUUUACCUAAAAAAAAAGGCUCGUAAAACAGUCUUAUCCAAAAGCAAAUGCUAAUAAAGUGAUGUUUUUUUCCUUUUCAAGGAGAGGUUUUAAACAGUCGAAACUAGUUACAAGGUAUACACCAAAAUAAAUAAGCACUUUUAUGAAAAGAUGCUUUCAAUAAACAUAACAAUGGAAACUUCAUAUUUCAGACAAUUGGUCGUAAACGCAUGCGAACGUAUGUAAUAUCUGCAUUCGAGGUUACUGAUAAUUUUUUGGUAAAAAAAUAUAAAUGAACUUAUACAAAGUUAGUGUAUACUGUUUUCCAUUGUAUAAUGAUUACUAUCUGCAUUGAUAUUCAAUUAUUGACUUUUUUUUCUAUUAUUAAUUUCAGUAGAAUUUCCAAACUUAUGGAAUACCCUUACAACAUAAGAAUCAAAACUUUUGGCGACUUUUAUUGUUUGUUUUAUAGAGAUUAACAUAAUAACACAAUGUUCACUGCUGUGCCUCUAUUUUUAACAUUUUUACUUAUUAUGUCUGUUUGUUUUGUUAAAUUUUUUAUAAGACAAUCAUACAAGUGAGAGGUUUACCUAGCUUUAAAACCAGGUUUAAUCCACCAGUUUUUAUAAAAGAAAAUGCAUGUACUAAGUCAUGAUUAUGACAGUUGAUGUUGAUUGGUUUGAUAUGGUCAUUAUUUUCUAUUGUACUUUGAUUACUAUCUUCAUUAAUAUGCAAUCUUUCACUAUUUCCUAUUAUUAAUUUCAGGAGCAUUUCCAAACUUAUGGAAUGAUCUAACAACAUCAGGGUCAAAACAUUUGGAGACAUUUACAAAAGGUUUAUUCGAAUGACUGCUAGAAUAAACUAUACAUCAAUAUCAAGAUAAUCAACUGUACAUUUAUUCUACCUAAUAUAACGGCACUAUUGAAUGUAGUUCACUAUUGCUUAAAAAAAUAUGAAAAAAGUAGGCACGUAAAAUUGUCUUUCCUAUAAACAAUUCUGAAUAAAAUGACGUUUUCUUUUGCAAGGAGAGUCUAUAAAAAGUUGAAACUAGAGGAAAAGUAUGCACAAAAAUAUAUAAGCACGGUUAUAACAAAAUUAUUUCAAUGAACAUAACAAUGGUAGGGUCAUUUUUCAGACAAUUAGUCUUAAACGCAUUCGAAAACAUAUAUGUCUAUAUAACUUUUUGUCUAUAUGUCUGUUGUUUGUCUAUAUGCCUUUUUGUGUUUCUUUCUUAUAUAUAAUGUGGCUUUGUACUUAUACAUCCCAUCAUUGUAUUAUUGUGCAAUGGUAAAUGUUUGUUAAUAUAUUUGUUUGUUUUAUAGGGAUUAAGAUAAUAACACAAUGUUGACUGCUGUGCCUCUAUUUUUGACAUUUUUUACCUGUUUUGCCUGUUUGUUUUGUUCACAAAUAGUUGUCAAUAUAAUGGAUUUUAAUACGACAGUCAUACAAAGGAGAGGUUUAACAAGCUUUAAAAGCAAUUUAAUCAACCAUUUUUUAUAGAAAGAAAAUGCCUGUACCAAGUCAGGAAUAUGACAGUUGGUGUUCAUUGGUUUGGUAUGGUCACUAUUUUCUAUUGUACAUAAAUUACUAACUUCAUUAAUGUUCAAUUAUUGACUCUUUUUAUUAUUAAUUUUAGGAGGAUUUCCAAACUUGUGGAAUAAUCGCACAACAUCAGAAGAAAAAGUUUGGCGACUUUUAUAAACAGGUAAAUUCGAUUGACUGUUAGAAAAAAGCAAUAUAUCAAGAUCAAGAUUAUCAACUGUACAUGCAUUCUAUCUAAUAUAACGGCACUAUUAAAUGUGGUUUAAUUUUGCUGAAAACCAAAUAAAAAAGGUAUGCACGCAAAACGGUCUUAUCCAAAAGCAAUUACAAAUGAAUUGAUUUUUUUUUCUUCUACUGCAAGGAGAGUCUUUAAAAAGUCGAAACAAGUGACAAAGUAUAAUAAAAAAGAAUAAGUAAAGACUUUUAUCAAAAGACGCUUUCAACAAACAUCAUAAAAUUGAGAAUGGAAAUGGGGAAUGUGUCAAAGAGACAACAACCCGACUAAACAAAAAACAACAGCAGAGGGUCACCAACAGGUCUUCAAUGUAGCGAGAAAUUUCCGCACCCGGAGGCGUCCUUCAGCUGGCCCCUAAACAAAUAUAUACUAGUCCAGUGAUAAUGAACGCCAUACUAAUUUCCAAAUUGUACACAAGAAACUAAAAUUAAAAUAAUACAAGACUAACAAAGGCCAGAGGCUCCUGACUUGGGACAGGCGCAAAAAUGCGGCGGGGUUAAACAUGUUUGUGAGAUCUCAACCCUCCCCCUAUACCUCUAACCAAUGUAGAAAAGUAAAAUGGUAAGUUCAUAGUUCAGACAAUUAGUCGUAAACGCAUUCAAUCAAAUAUAUCUGAGUUCAAGAUUACUGAUUAUUUUUGUAAAAAAAUCUAAAUGAACUUAAACAAACUAAGUGUACACUUAUAAAGUGUUCUUUAUUCUUUUGUGUGCAUUGACGUCAAACAUUUGCUAUUUUGAAAUAAAAAAUACAUUUUGCAAAUUACUCUGCAAUUUUUUAAGUUCAUUGUUUGGAAAUAUGUAACAAUCAUCUUUUGACAUCAACUCAUAAAAAUCUUUUCUUGAAUGCGAUUUGAAAUUUGUAAUAUUCGUGAGAUUACACAUUUUGAUUUCAUGAGGAUAUUUAAAAAAAAAAUAAGUUUGUGUUAAAAUGAGUUAAUUUUUCAACAGUUUAUAUAAAUAAAACAUUUGUAUAUGCUUGUUUAAGAAAAAAAUAUAUUUUAAUUUCAUUGUAAAAAGUAUAUAUUAAAAUUGCUGACCUUAAGCAUUUUUUGAUUUGACUUUACAUAUUGAAAAUGAAAAAUGCUCCAACGUGGAGCAUUUUUCAAUUUGACAUCAAAUAUUGAAAAAUGAAAAAUGCUCCAAUAUGGAGCAUUUUAUAUUUUAUAUUUUGACAUUAUAAAUUGAAAAAAGAAAACUUAUUCCGAACAUGAGUAGUAUUUAUAUAUUAUAUAUAUGAUAACAUUGAGAAUAGAAAUAGGUAAUGCGCAAAAGAGACAGAGAAUAGACAGACAGCAAAUGUGCCAAACAGCCAAAGCAGCAACAAAAGAGACAGCAAUUCGACCAAAGUGCAGACAACAGCCAAAGGCCACCAAUGAAUCUUUAAUAAACCUCUAGUCAACAAACACACAUCAAUGCGCACAGUAAUGCUCAUUUCAAAAGAAGUCCGAGUUCGAUGUCAGAACAAGUAAUGUAGUAUAUGUAUUUGAUUUUAACGACAUCAAUCUCUGUAUUACUAAAAUAUAUUACACCAUGGUUUUCUGUAUCGCAAACUAGUCAUUACAUUCACUCAAUGGUAUCAACGGUACAAUGACACCAUUCGCUAGAAAAAAAUACAAAUCAACACACAGACAUGUUAUAUGUUCAGAUCUACACAUCAAAUCUUAUUCUGUAACGGUAAUAUUCUAUACAAAACACAAAUAUGUCGGCAUUCACCUCAAAACCUAACCAAACAGGCUUAUUCAAAAGGGAUACAGUUACGAUACUGUCCAUAAGAAUGGCAUAUUUUAGUAUGAAUAUUUAUUUACUCAAUGACAUAUGGUUUUUGCAUUGUAAAUAAACAAAUUUAUUAUAAAACAAGUUGUUGGCAUAAAACGGUUUAUGUUCUUUUCACAUAUUUUAUGAUGAUAUCAUACAAAAACCCCGAAUGAGAGAGAUUAUGCUAGAAAUUCAGUUGAUGAAGACAUUAUCUUUCAAUCAGAUUAAUUUAUGUCUGGAACGGGCAUUUCAGUAAUUGAUAGUAGUCCGUUGUUAAUGUAUGUAUGUAUCAUUGUCAUUUAGCUUAGUUUUGAAAUAUAUUAGGCCCGAAACCACAAUUAAUUCCUUUAUCAUUUCUUUAUAACGUUUUGUCGCAUUAAAAACAAAUCUAUUUUUUUUUGUUUUGUGUGUGUGUGUGUAAUGCACAGUACGUCAAAACAAAAAUAUCAAGUAUACAUCAUACACAUUUGGUAAAUACAUAUCCAUACCCCUUAGGCAAUUCAAGAGAUGUUCCGAAAAGUGUAAUUAUACCCUUUUUGUACCUGGCCUAAUCACUAUUUCCAUAUAAACAUCAGUUAAAAUGAAAAAUCCAAAAGUUUUAUUUAAGCUCUCUUCUAUCAUUUCCACCCCAGAAAAACUAAGAAAUCUGAGGAAGGGAAAGAAAAAAAUAAAGACAAAAUACACUAUUAUUAAAGGGAACUAUAUUCGUAGACAACGAAAAGCGGGAUCAUUAAUUGUGGUUUUGGGCCAAUAAGAUAUCUGACUCUGAGUUUUACUGUGCGUGAUUUCGUGUCUAUGUUUAUUCUUCAUUGUUUAGAGGUGUUAGAUGGUCUAACAAUACAUAUGUAUGUCCAAGUCAGGAGCCUCCGUCUUUUGUUAGUCUUGUUUAUGUGUUGUCAAUUGAAUUAAUUGUUUUCUAAAUAUUGGACUUGUGUGUAACUUCUAUUUUCAAUGCAUACGUACACAUGUUAAGGGGUCAGCUGCAUGAAGCCCGCCUUCGGUCGCAGAAAUUUCCCGCUGUGUUGAAGACCGAUUGGUGAUCUUGAGCUCUUUUUUGCCUUUUGAUCGGGUUGUUGCCUUUGUUACACGUUCCACAUUACCAUUCUUAAUGUUAUCAUACACAUUUAAGGAUAAUUGUCAUGUUCCAGACACGUGUAGGUAUUCAGUCGUGUGUUCUGCGGGUAAACUAAUUAAUAAAAAUUCACAUCUUUUUGGUCAUAAUUGUACCUUUUAGUAUAUUUCUCAUGUUCAAAAUUAGGUGAUACACACAUAGUGCACACGUAUACAUAAUUAACAAGUUCUUCAAGAUGUUUUAAAAUACUGUCGACAAUUUGAAUAUUUAAAACACAUAUAUUAAAACAAAUUUCAUUUCAUUCUAGAUCUACUCAUUAAAAAUUAAAAAAAUAUGCAGUUUUGAUCAUCCUUUUAAAUUUUUAUAUUGCGAAAUAAUUUCAAUUCAAAAUGAAACAUGCAUUUUUUCAUUUUUCAACAUUUUAAAGUCAAAUUACAAAAAUACUUAAUGUCAGCAAUUCCAAUUUUUCUUCUGAAAUGAACUUAUAUUAUUUUUCCUUUCUAAAACAAGCAUCUGCAAAUCAUUUGAUGUAUUCAAACUGUUGAAAUUUUAUCUUUUUUUAAUAUCCUCGUGAAAUCAAAAAAAAAAAAAUUCCAUAUAGAUAACAAAUUUUAAAUAUCAUUAAGAAAAUGAUUUUUCAAAAGUCACUUCAAAAGAGUUUUGCCUUAUGUUUAAAGUGUGAAGAGCAAUUUGCUAUAUUCAUUUUUUUCUGUUAAAAAUGCCAUUUUUUGGCGUAAAUAUACACGGUCUUCUGUUGUACAUUGAUUACCUAUAGUACUUCAUUUAUUUAUUAUUCAAUUAUUGACUAUUUUUUAUUAUUAAUUUCAGGAGAAUUUCUCAACUUGUGGAAUAAUCUUUAAACAGAAGAACAAAAACUUUCGGCGACUUUUACAAGGUUUGGACCUACUUAAAAAAAAAACUUCAAGCCGAACAAAACCCUGGAUUUUUUGUCAAGUAGAUAGCUACGAAGCUUCCCUUUUCAUCUAGUACGAACA
RNAcentral lists this long non-coding RNA (6519 nucleotides) under Mytilus galloprovincialis (Mediterranean mussel). The record is from RNAcentral. Lineage: Eukaryota; Metazoa; Mollusca; Bivalvia; Mytilida; Mytilidae.